This 885-nucleotide ribosomal RNA is filed under the name Triticum aestivum (bread wheat). RNAcentral's name for it is "partial small subunit ribosomal RNA". The record is from RNAcentral. Lineage: Eukaryota; Viridiplantae; Streptophyta; Magnoliopsida; Poales; Poaceae.
AUGCCGUUCCUGAGCCCCCUCCCGGGCGACGACGCCGACGACUACUACUACGGCUACGACGCCGGGUACCGCCGCGGCGGCGGCAGCGGCACCGGCGGGAAGAGCGCCAAGAAGGACAGGGGCAUCUUCUCCUGCCUCCCCUGCUUCACCCCCUUCUCGCCCGGGGCGGUGGACCCGAUAGCGCACCGCCGCCUCCUCUCCUCCGACUCCAGCGACAGCGACAACGUCGCCGCCACCGACAUCACCGCCGAUCUCGCCCGCCUCCGCCUGCGCUACUCCCGCCUCGCCGCCGGCCCGCCCGUCCGCCCGCGCGACGUCCCCGCCCUCGUCGCCCGCACGGACGACCCGCCGCUCGCCGUCGCCGCGCUCUCCUGGCUCGGCGGCGACCUGCGCCCGUCCUGCAUCCUCGCCCUCCUCCCGGCGCUGUUCCCGUCCCUGCGAACAGGCGAGUCCGAGGGCGACCUCUUCCUCCCCUCCAACGAGCGUCAGUCGCAGGCGCUCUCCGCCGCCAGGCGCCGCCUCCAGGCCCGCGAGGCCGCGCUGGACGGCGAGGUGGCCGAGUACCAGUCCACCUACGCCAUGAAGCUGGCGUGCGAGAAGACCAAGGAGGGGUUCGCCGAGACGGCGGCCGAGGAGGUGUGCAAGAUGGCGCGCGCCGCGCGGCGUGCCGACAAGCUGCGGUGGCGCGCCGUGGAGGCCGCCGUCAAGGAGGUGCUCACGCCGGCGCAGGCCAAGGAGUUCCUCAAGGCCGUCGAGGACGUGUCCGGCAAGGCCGGGCGGCACGGCGCGAGGUGGCAGGCGCGCGCUGGGCCCCUCUCGGUGCCCGCCGAGGCGUUCGAGCGUAUGCGUACCAAUGCCAGAGCAGCCGCAGAUGAUGCGUGGUGA